UACGUGAGGGGCGAACGUUGUUCGGUGUCACUGGGCUUAAAGGGCGCGUAGGUGGUUGCGUAAGUAACGUGUGAAAUCCCUCGGCUUACCCGGGGAAUUGCAUGUUAUACUGCGUGGCUUGAGGAUCUCAGGGGAAAGGGGAACUCCAGGUGUAGCGGUGAAAUGCGCAGAUAUCUGGGGGAAGGCCGGCGGCGAAGGCGCCUUACUGGACGAUAACUGACGCUGAGACGCGAAAGCGUGGGGAGCAAACAGG
RNAcentral lists this ribosomal RNA (253 nucleotides) under uncultured bacterium. RNAcentral's name for it is "partial 16S ribosomal RNA". It matches the Rfam family "Bacterial small subunit ribosomal RNA", at positions 524 to 776 of the family's 1533-position model. The record is from RNAcentral.